Molecule: ribosomal RNA, 429 nt
Filed under: Acidobacteriota bacterium
Lineage: Bacteria; Pseudomonadati; Acidobacteriota
Description: Acidobacteria bacterium partial 16S ribosomal RNA
Rfam family: Bacterial small subunit ribosomal RNA
Source: RNAcentral
UGGGGAAUUUUGGACAAUGGGGGAAACCCUGAUCCAGCCAUCCCGCGUGUGCGAUGAAGGCCUUCGGGUUGUAAAGCACUUUUGGCAGGAAAGAAACGUCAUGGGUUAAUACCCCGUGAAACUGACGGUACCUGCAGAAUAAGCACCGGCUAACUACGUGCCAGCAGCCGCGGUAAUACGUAGGGUGCAAGCGUUAAUCGGAAUUACUGGGCGUAAAGCGUGCGCAGGCGGUUCGGAAAGAAAGAUGUGAAAUCCCAGAGCUCAACUUUGGAACUGCAUUUUUAACUACCGGGCUAGAGUGUGUCAGAGGGAGGUGGAAUUCCGCGUGUAGCAGUGAAAUGCGUAGAUAUGCGGAGGAACACCGAGGGCGAAGGCAGCCUCCUGGGAUAACACUGACGCUCAUGCACGAAAGCGUGGGGAGCAAACAGG